RNAcentral lists this ribosomal RNA (583 nucleotides) under Eiseniella tetraedra. Its description in RNAcentral is "partial large subunit ribosomal RNA". It matches the Rfam family "Bacterial large subunit ribosomal RNA", at positions 1922 to 2754 of the family's 2925-position model. The record is from RNAcentral. Lineage: Eukaryota; Metazoa; Annelida; Clitellata; Crassiclitellata; Lumbricidae.
GUUCAACGGCCGCGGUAUCCUAACCGUGCAAAGGUAGCAUAAUCACUUGCCCAUUAAUUGUGGGCUAGAAUGAAAGGACUAACGAAAUAAAGACUGUCUCUAUAAGCAAAAUAAAAAUUAAUUUCUAACUGAAGANUGUUAGAUUAUGUCGAAGGACAAGAAGACCCUAUAGAGCUUAAUUCUAAUAAAAAUAUAUAUUUUAAUAAAAUUCGGUUGGGGCGACCAGGGAAUAAAAAUCAUCCCUACUCAAAAGAUAUAUAAAUCUUUAAAAUGACCCUUAAACAAGAUCAUAAAAACAAGCUACCUUAGGGAUAACAGGCUAAUCCCAUUAAAGAGUUCUUAUCAAUAGUGGGGGUUGGCACCUCGAUGUUGGCUUAGGGAAUCUAUGCGGCGCAAAAGUCGUAUAAAGAUGGUUUGUUCAACCAAUAACCCCUACAUGAGCUGAGUUCAGACCGGCGUAAGCCAGGUUAGUUUCUAUCCUCCAUAAAAGUACCUAUUUAUAUUACGAAAGGACCUACAUAAGGGUAGUUAUUAUAUACAAACAAGGAAUCUUAAAUUUUAAUAUAUUCGACAAUAAUAAUCU